GGUGGCGGCCUGCGUGCGGACCCUGAGCCCGCCGUGACCAGGGCAGCACAGUGCUGUGGAGCUCUGCUGCCUGCGCUCUCCAGGCCCGGGCCUGAUUCUCAGUACAAGCCUGUGGCUCCAGACAUCUUCUAAGGUCCAACAGGCCCUCUGGCAGGGCUUGGCAAGGAUGGCUGACCCGCUGGAGCUCGGUGAGGGCAGACUUCUGGGGAGGCCAGGCCUGGUCAGGGAAGCCCGGUCUGGAGGGGAAGUGGCACCCCAACUUCCAGCGAAAAGGGCCGCCUGUGCUCGGGACCCGACCCUUCAGCCUUGGCCUCUGAAAACCCAAAUCUCCUCCUCUCCUGACAGCAAGUGCUGCAUAGCUUGUGGGGGAAGUGGGGCGAGACAUUGGUCUCUGCAGCUCUGAAACCAAAGCCUCAUUUCAACUUCUCUUCAGUGGAAGUAAAAGAUUGCUGCCCCGACUUGACCCUGUGAAAAGAGACACCCACACCUGAUUUGCCCCAUUUGCCCCGUGGAUGGGAGAGGGCUCUCACCUGUGAGAAGGAAUGGUCCUGGCUCCAGGCCAGCCACCCAGUUCCAGGAACACUCGGACUUCUUGUGUCCAAGUUCAUCUCAGCCUCCUGGCAGCAGAGGGCUCCUGACAUCCCCAUUUACACCCACUCCGUUCCCGCUAAGCAGCGGCUUCCUUGGCGGCAGGAAGACCGCAGCAGCUGCCGGACUGACACCGCCAUAGCUCCGCAGAGGACCCAGAACAACACCCCCG
Nycticebus coucang (slow loris) is the source of this 760-nucleotide long non-coding RNA. RefSeq lists it as uncharacterized. The record is from RefSeq and is a predicted model, not a curated record. The transcript has 3 exons. Lineage: Eukaryota; Metazoa; Chordata; Mammalia; Primates; Lorisidae.